This 776-nucleotide ribosomal RNA is filed under the name uncultured Neocallimastigales. RNAcentral's name for it is "partial large subunit ribosomal RNA". It matches the Rfam family "Eukaryotic large subunit ribosomal RNA", at positions 24 to 640 of the family's 3401-position model. The record is from RNAcentral. Lineage: Eukaryota; Fungi; Neocallimastigomycota; Neocallimastigomycetes; Neocallimastigales.
UAUGUGAUCGUCUCUCGCAUAUCAAUAAGCGGAGGAAAAGAAACUAACAAGGAUUCCCCUAGUAACGGCGAGUGAAGCGGGAAGAGCUCAAAUUUGAAAUCUUAAAGGGUUUCCCUUUACGAAUUGUAGUUUAAAGAAGUGUUUUCUGUUGAGGUUUUGGUAAAAGUUCUUUGGAAUAGGACAUCAUAGAGGGUGAGAAUCCCGUAUUUGACCUUUACUUUCAACUUUGUGACUACACUUUCAAAGAGUCGGAUUGUUUGGGAAUGCAGUCCAAAAUGGGUGGUAAAUUUCAUCUAAAGCUAAAUAUUGGCGAGAGACCGAUAACGAACAAGUACCGUGAGGGAAAGAUGAAAAGAACUUUGAAAAGAGAGUUAAACAGUACGUGAAAUUGUCAAAAGGGAAGCGUUUGACACCAGUGUUGUUUUUCUGAAAAUCAAUUAAAGAACUGUUUAUGCUAAGCUGUUUAGACUUUAUCAGCUAAUCUGUUUAGUUUUGAGCUUUUCUUUAAUGCACUUUUCAGUUAACAAGUCAACAUCAAUUUCUUUUGCUGUAAAAAAGCUUGAGGAAGGUGGCUUGAGAUUCGUCUUAAGUGUUUAUAGCCUCUUGCCUAUGCAGUCGGAGAGAUUGAGGUCUGCAGCGUAGAUCCUUCGGGGCUAAAUGCAUUUGUGCUAAGUUAUAGCAUUUUAUAGACAACUUGUUGACUAUGAUUUGUCUUGUAGCUUACUCGCUUAUGUUAUUUUACCUACGCUUAGGAUGUUGAUAUGCAUGACUGAUAU